AACUUUCAACAACGGAUCUCUUGGCUCUGGCAUCGAUGAAGAACGCAGCGAAAUGCGAUACGUAAUGUGAAUUGCAGAAUUCCGCGAACCAUCGAAUCUUUGAACGCACAUUGCGCCCGCCAGUAUUCUGGCGGGCAUGCCUGUCCGAGCGUCA
This 154-nucleotide ribosomal RNA is filed under the name Sporothrix eucastaneae. RNAcentral describes it as "5.8S ribosomal RNA". It matches the Rfam family "5.8S ribosomal RNA". Rfam says of the family: 5.8S ribosomal RNA (5.8S rRNA) is a component of the large subunit of the eukaryotic ribosome. It is transcribed by RNA polymerase I as part of the 45S precursor that also contains 18S and 28S rRNA. Functionally, it is thought that 5.8S rRNA may be involved in ribosome translocation. The record is from RNAcentral. Lineage: Eukaryota; Fungi; Ascomycota; Sordariomycetes; Ophiostomatales; Ophiostomataceae.